RNAcentral lists this ribosomal RNA (439 nucleotides) under uncultured bacterium. Its description in RNAcentral is "partial 16S ribosomal RNA". It matches the Rfam family "Bacterial small subunit ribosomal RNA", at positions 339 to 795 of the family's 1533-position model. The record is from RNAcentral.
CUACGAGGGGCAGCAGUGGGGAAUCUUAGACAAUGGGGGAAACCCUGAUCUAGCCAUGCCGCGUGAGCGACGACGGCCCUAGGGUUGUAAAGCUCUUUCAGCAGGGAAGAUAAUGACGGUACCUGCAGAAGAAGUCCCGGCUGACUCCGUGCCAGCAGCCGCGGUAAUAGGGAGGGGACUAGCGUUGUUCGGAAUUACUGGGCGUAAAGCGCGCGUAGGCGGAUUGUUAAGUCGGGGGUGAAAUCCCGGGGCUCAACCCCGGAACUGCCCUCGAUACUGGCAGUCUUGAGUUCGAGAGAGGUGAGUGGAAUUCCGAGUGUAGAGGUGAAAUUCGUAGAUAUUCGGAGGAACACCAGUGGCGAAGGCGGCUCACUGGCUCGAUACUGACGCUGAGGUGCGAAAGCGUGGGGAGCAAACAGGAUUAGAUACCCCGGUAGUC